Molecule: ribosomal RNA, 801 nt
Filed under: Smittium tronadorium
Lineage: Eukaryota; Fungi; Kickxellomycota; Harpellomycetes; Harpellales; Legeriomycetaceae
Description: eukaryotic LSU rRNA
Rfam family: Eukaryotic large subunit ribosomal RNA
Source: RNAcentral
GCAUAUCAAUAAGCGGAGGAAAAGAAACUAACAAGGACUCCCUUAGUAACGGCGAGUGAAGCGGGAACAGCUCAAGCUUGAAAUCGACACUUGGUAAACAUAUGUCGAGUUGUAGCUUUUGGAAGCAGUUUCAAGCUACUGGUUGCGGUAAAAGUUCUUUUGAAUAAGACAUCAAAGAGGGUGAGAAUCCCGUCAUUGACCGUGAUUUAAGUGGUGAUGCGAACUGUUUUCUGUGAGUCGGGUUGUUUGGGAAUGCAGCCCUAAUUGGGAGGUAAAUUUCUUCCAAAGCUAAAUAUUAGUAAGAGACCGAUAGCAAACAAGUACCGUGAGGGAAAGAUGAAAAGCACUUUGAAAAGAGAGUGAAAAGUACGUGAAAUUGUUAAAAGGGAACCGGUUGGUAGCCAAGCAUUUCUUGGUGUUAGGGCAUUUAUGUCAGAGCGCCAGGAGGGUCAACAUCGAUUACUGUUAACUGCCAGAAAGGAAAUUUUGCAUUCUAGCGGAGGAAGGUAGGGGGGCGAGUUUCUGUUUCAUUUAUGGAGCAGUAUUAUGGCUUGCUUUCUGCUAUAGCCUCCAUGAGUUUGCUUUUUAUACGCCUAGUGGUGGUGGUGAUCGAGGACUGCAGCGCGUUUUGAGAAGUUUUACUUCUUAAUGGCUUGAUUGUUUUAAAGCAUUGUAGUUGCGUUAUGGUAGACAGCAUGCUGACUGCUAUGSGUAGGCUAUAUGAUUUAGGGCAUUUAAGACUAAUCAGCGCUUUGGAUGUUGGCGAAAAGGCACUAAUCGACCCGUCUUGAAACACGGACC